CCUACGGGGGACUGCAGUGAGGAAUAUUGGUCAAUGGCCGGAAGGCUGAACCAGCCAAGCCGCGUGAAGGACGAAGGUGCCAAGCAUUGUAAACUUCUUUUGUCAAGGGACAAAAUCAGGCUCGAGAGCCUGACCGAGGGUACUUGAAGAAAAGCAUCGGCUAACCCCGUGCCAGGCGCCGGGGUAAUACGGGGGGUGCGAGCGUUAUCCGGAUUUAAUGGGUUUAAAGGGGGCGUAGGGGGACUGUUAAGUUAGCGGUAAAAGCCCGGGGCUAAACCCCGGCGAGCCGUUGAAACGGGCUGUCUUGAGAAGUCGAGAGGUAUGCGGAAUGCGCAGUGUAGCGGUGAAAUGCUUAGAUAUUGCGCAGAACUCCGAUUGCGAAGGCAGCAUACCGGCGGCGAUCUGACGCUGAGGCACGAAAGCGUGGGUAUCGAACAGGAUUAGAUACCCUAGUAGUC
This 458-nucleotide ribosomal RNA is filed under the name uncultured bacterium. RNAcentral describes it as "partial 16S ribosomal RNA". It matches the Rfam family "Bacterial small subunit ribosomal RNA", at positions 338 to 795 of the family's 1533-position model. The record is from RNAcentral.